Long non-coding RNA from Aethalodelphis obliquidens (Pacific white-sided dolphin), 5983 nucleotides. RefSeq lists it as uncharacterized. The transcript is spliced from 3 exons. NCBI's taxonomy places the organism in Eukaryota, Metazoa, Chordata, Mammalia, Artiodactyla, Delphinidae. The record is from RefSeq and is a predicted model, not a curated record.
AAGUCUGCUAAAGAAAUGGAAUCUUUUAUAAUGUACCCUAAACCCAAGGACGACAUUCCAUCCCCUUUGCAAUAAAAGGUGACCUCCCAUCACUUUUGCCAUAUUCUAUUGGUUGGAAGCAAGUCAGAGGUUCUGCCCAUACCCAAGGGGAGGAGAUUAUACAAAGGCAUAAAUAUUGGGAGACGGGGAUGACGGGGGCUUCCUUGAAGUCUGUCUGCCACACCUGUAAAUAAAUAUACGAGGAUAACAUCAGAUGGAAAUGACUACUCUGCAGAGAAUCAAACUACGGUGUUACGAUUGCAACUUGGUGUCUCGUGAUUGAAUGGGCAGAUAAGGCCUCCUUGAGGAAGUGGCAUCUGAACUGAGAUCUGAAUGCCUAGAGGAAGCCAGCUAGUCUGGCUGUGUUAACAGUGAGACCGGCUGGAGAGCAGUGGAUGACAGGGAAAGUGGUAUGAAAUGAAGUCAGACAGCUUAUUUGAAUCAGAGAGUUGGAUUAUAUCGUUAAGGUUCCCAGAGACAACAGGUUCCUGGAAUGCCUAGAUCUAUAAACACUUGGUGAGGAGUGGAAGAUACGAUGAUGAACAAGACAUUCUCUGCUACCAUGGAGCUGACUAUCCACUGGUUCACUCAUACCACAGCCUUUAUUGAGCACCUAUCACAUGCCAGAAAAUGUUCUAAGUGCUGGGACACAACAGAGAACAGACAGAAAAUAAACAAUUUUUUUAAAUGUUGUAAUUUUAGGAAUUGAUAUGUCCUAUGAAGAAAAUGAAGUAGAGGAGGUGAUGGCAGGUGCUAUUUUUAGAUUGAUCACAGAAGUGAUGUUGAGAAAAGACCUCCAUGAUUAAAACAGUGAGUCAACCAAUUUUCCUGUGGAAGAGCAUCCUGGGCAGAGAGAAUACAAAACAUAAGAUCUAAGUAAAGGGACAAUGGACCAUUUCUUCUGAAGCUUGACUACGUUUUGAAGGUCAUAUGAACAAUUUCCAACUUCACUAUGUUCAAAUUUAAACCAAGUCGCCAUUAAGUCCACCACACACAGUCAACACUAACACAUGUUUUGUACAGAGCUUAAAGUUUGUGCAGCUUGAUACCUCAUGCUUUUCUCUGCUUGUUCGUUUGUUUGUUUGCUGAGAUUUGUAUGUACCUAUCAUGCCUGAAAUCUCUAGGACAAAUGCAAAUCAUUCAAAUGUAUCACUAGUCUAUAAUUUUUUCUUGGAGACAAGUCCACUAGAGUACUCUGUCCUCCUCUGACCUGAAUGGUUUGCCCUCCAGGCUGGACACUCACUUAUCGUACUGGGUCUUCCUUUCACCAGCAUCCUGAGCAUUUUCUUCUCUCCUGUGUUGGAUCUCCUGAUUUCUGGUCCCAUGUCAUCCUCUUUCUUAGAUUAGUUCUCAUCGUAGUGAAUAAUAUCCUCUACUAGCUUACUAUGAAAGGACACAUGAGAGCAAAAAAAUGAGAUGUUGGAUAUCUGAAGAAUUCUCUAUUCUACCCUUAUACAAGACUAACAGUCUAGCCAGGAAUAGGAUUCCAAGUUAGUAGUCAUUUCCCCUAAGAAUUUCAAGGGCACAUCUCCACUGUUUUCUAGCUCUCAGGGUUGCUGAGAAGUUUGAUGCCAUUCAUUCAUAUUUAAGAACAAGGCAAUGAAAAGCUGAAUAGAAGUUCAGCGUGUGUGGAUAGAAUUUAUCAAAUUAUAGACAUUGUUAGAGAGUAUCCAUCUAGGAAAUUAAAUUCAAGUACUCCCGAAUCUCAAUGACUCUAAAUCUUUGGUGGGGAGAUAGAGCCGGUAAAUUUUUUCCAGGGAAGAAUCUUCUCCCAUUUUCCUACCUUGGAGAAAUAUUGCUGGCAGUCAACAUCUCUGAGCUAAUGAAGGAAAAGGGUUAGGAUGUAACCAUUCAGAAUGUAGAUGUUUACUUAACCCCCAUUUUCAGCAUGGAGGUGACUGCAAGUCCAAAGUCUCUCUAGUUGAACCUCUCCAGAGAGUAAAGGCUAAUCUUCUUCUUGGGUAAAGGAGGGUUAUCCAUCACCUCUGAAGGAUUUCGAAGAUGCAGUAUUAACUACUUGAAAUAUUGACCCUUACCCUUGUUUUCUCUCCAUUUGCGUCUUUCUCCAAUCCUUGAGGCCUUGGGGUUUUGAGGAAUGAAUUCAUCUACUUCUGCUUUCAACUCUCAAAGAUCUGCUGAUUCAAAUACCCCUUGUUCAUCUGAUGUUUUCAUUCUAAAACAUAGUUGAAAUUGUUUGCUUACUCUCUAUUUUAUCCUUGUACACUGACAGUUGUUUUAAUCCCAUUAGGUUGUUUAAAUCAUUUGAGUUUGAUUUGGGGUGUAUUUAACCUGCAGUAUCUAACUAGAAACUCCCUCGAAAUGUUUUCCCCACAAUUCAAUUCCUUUCCACAAAGAAUUUCUUAUAAAUAGAAUUUUAUUCAUCUCAUUUCAUCUCAUCUCAUUUCAUCAUUGUGCAAAAUUAAGUGGAAGUUAUAAAAAGAAAAGGCUAAUGUGAGAGAUAAGAAGCCUACAUUUCAUAAACUUCAUAUGUUUGAGACAGAGAUGGAGAUUGCUAGGUCUACCAGAAGCUAUAUCUCUUUACUUUCAAUCUGAUGCUUAUUGGAUUUAAGCCAGUUGAAUAUACGAACAGUUACAAGGUACAAGAAUAAACUUAAAGGAUAUGGUUUAAAUGCUGAAAAUGCUAAAAAUGGUGUUUCACAAAGUGUAAUUAAGGAUUUUACAAUGGAACUCUUUCUGUAAUAUAUGUCUAUUAUUAGUCUUUAAAGAAUUUGAGUUGUAGAAAGUUCCAGUAACAUAGGAACAAAACUAUAGAACUGCCCAAACAAUUUUUAGGCCUCCAUCUUAAAUUUAAGAGCCAUAAAGAAAUAAAUAGCUACUCAAUUAGAAAGGUUAUAAAGUAUUCAGUAACACCAAAGUUCUUCUGAUAUUUUCUGAAACUCUCUUGAUCUACUUACUUUCUUUUUCAACUGUAUUAUAACUCUUCUCUACCAAAACUUGUUUUCAUUUUUUAAAAAUUAUUAUUCAUGUUACACCUCACUGAAAGUACAAAUCAAUGUUUUACCUCUUGCCCUUAAAAAAAAAAAUCAGGCAUGCUUAAACAGUUAGAAAAUAUUUGAGAGAACAAUGUGGUGUAAUAAAGAGGAUUAAAUAUUGCUGACUGAAAUCAAAUAUGUAUUCUCUUUGCCAAAAUCCCACUAAAUAAAAUUUUGAACAGCAAUCCUGGAAGCCAGAAGAUAAUGGAGCAAUAUAUUUGAAAUUCUAAGGAAAAUUAAGUUCUAACUUAGAAUUCUAUAUCUAGUCAUACAAUCAAUUAAGUGUGAGAGUAAAAUAAAGACAUUUUCAUAAUGUCAAGUCUCAAAAUGAUUAUUUCCAAUGCGCCUUUUCUCAGAAGCUGCUCUCUUCAAGGAAUAAAUCAAGAAGUAGAAAUCAUGAGACCUGGGGAACAAGAGAUCCAACAAAGGAGAAGAAGCAGAAAAUGCUAAGAGUAAGAAGGAAGUGGAGUCCUAAAACUAAUCUGAUAAGAACAGCCAGAUCAAACUGGAGCUGAGAGAGAAUACCCCAGGAGGGAAACUAAAAAGACAAAGUCAAACAAAUGAACAAAUAAACAAAGAAAAAAACCUGAGUGAAUGAUUGUGAAGUUUUCAGAGUUCUGUGAAAAUACUGGGAAUUAACUUAAUGAAAAGUACAUAGAAAUCGAAGCAGUGAGACAAUUGCUAACAAACUCCAAGGGAAAUGGAAAAUUGCACACGAAAAAGGAAACGUGACCAUAGUAUGCUAUGUGGUUUAGCUGUGAACAAUACAAACAUAGUCAGAAUAAUGGAAGCACUGAAAUUUUUUCUUACCCCAGAUUAUGGGAUAGCUGCAUUGGGAGGUUGCGUUGAGAGAAGAAUGUAUUGAAACAGGGUUGUUGUUGGGGUUUUUUUUUCCAUUUGUUGGUUUUAAAGAGAGCUAAAUGAUCAUGUCAUCUUCCAUAAAAGGAAUUUAAUGGAUUAGGUCUCAAUUUUUUAACUGAAGAGUACAUUUAAAAUUGGAAAGAAAUCCUAGAAGCAGCAGAACUGCAAAUGGGUUGCUUUUGGUAGGCAGGUCAGGAAUGGGUAGGGAUUGGGCAUGAGAUUGCUAAUAUUUCUCAUGAACACUUUGUCAUUUUAUUUAACAUGUUAAAGAAUAUUGGUGAUUUUUUUUUUUAAUGAGUAGGGACCACCUAGAUUUAAAUCUUUGCCCUGGUCUGGUUAUUCAGUAGCCUAAACAAGUUUACUGAGUCCUCUGAACUUCACCCCCAUAAUUAGAGGGUAGUUUUUAAAACAAAAUAAGGAGUCUCCAAAUACUUCUUUCCUUGGCACUCAGGCAUGUCUUAAGCAUAUUUUCUAAACCCAGAAGCUCCAAAUUCUUGACAAGUCACAGCAUGACCAUAUCUUCUUCCCAUACCAAGGGUUCUAAAGAUUCGUGCUCAAUUAGACUUCCACCUCCCCCGCCACCGCCCCCAGCCCCCUGUUCAAUGGAUUCUGCAGAGCCUGAGGAAUAGGAAAGCCCCAAGUGAACCCAUAACUCUUAAGAGAUUUCCCAGACAAGAAGGGGAAUUUCCAGGCAUCUUGGAUUUCCUAGGAUUUUAGAGAUUCUCAAGUCUCAAGUUUCAAUAUGAGUCCUUGCAACAAUUCUGAAUGAGCAGUAGAAGGGAUGGCUGUACAUGCCGAGGGCUGGGAGGAUGGCAGAUUAGCUCACUUAUGGCACCAUGUGUCUAUCGGGGAAAGAAGAGUGUGAUUUCUUCUUAACUCAAAUUUAUAUCUAUGUAUCUAACAGAUGUUUUUACAAGAAUGUUUAAACCUUUUAUUUCACAUUUUAAAAGAUUGAAUAUAUUUUCCGAUUUAAUAAUUCUUAAACUAGUACUUUUGGAAAUUUGUAUAUGAGUAAAGUAGAAAUAGAAGAUUGUUUGAAGCGAAUGGUGUUUUAGCACUCAGCUGUUUUUCUGUCUCAUUUGCUAUUUACAAAGCAAACUGCACCUCCUUAACAGUUCUAACUCUGAAAACAGAUCCACAUUCUUCUCUUAUCAGGGGCUGGUCCCUUACACUCAACUUAAUGUUCAACUAAAGUAACUUACACUUGUUUUACUUAUUUCACAUGCUUUACUUUCUCUGGGAAAGAGAAUGCACAUUGAGCUGUGCUGAGUAUUCAUUUUAUUCGACUGUGUUUAGAUGUUUUAUACUUAUAAACACACACAAUUAUAGACUGUUUCCAACCUAUUUAAGUUAACACUUAUGAAUGGAUGUAGCAACUGUCUGCUUACCACCUUAUGGUUUUAAAGUAAGUAAUCUCCCAUUAAAACAAAUUAACCAAAAGAAGUAAUUAUACAUAUAUCAAUUUAUAUUUGUGUAUAAUGAGUCCUAAAUUUUAAAAGUAUUAAUUGACUCUUUUAUUCUCAUUAGCACCUUGAUUUUGGGCAAAAUUUCAAAUUAAGAGGGUUCAACCCCUAUUACUCUAGUAGAGACGAUCAUUUCUCCUUCUACCGCUGGUUAGUGGGUUUUUAAUUGUCUAAAAUUUUAAUGUAAAUCUUGAACUAUAGCAGCCUCCAGAGAGUGUCAUGGUUUAGAUUUGGGGUUGCUAUUUCCAGUCAGUCAAGAACAGAGUCCUGAGCCAAAAUGAACCGCGUGGAGAGCUCUGACUUUAUCUUUACUAUUGCAUUAUAUUCCCUCACCAAAAUCAAACAAACAAAAAUGUGGUUUUGUUUUUACUGUGAUUUACAUAGAGGAGAAUGCAUAAAUCUUAAUUGCAUAGUUCAAAUUUUGACAUAUGUAUGUACCCAAGUAACCAACAUCCAGAUCAAGAUACAGAGAAACAUGUUUAUCGUUCUAGAAAAUUUCUCCACGCCACUUUCCAACCAAUAGCCCUCCCUUUCUCCAGCAGUAACUGCUUUUCUGAUUUCUAUCACCAAAAAUUAGUUUUGCAUAUUCUUUGCAUGAAUUUGAUACGAAUAAAAUUAUAAAGUCUA